Molecule: long non-coding RNA, 774 nt
Filed under: Mustela putorius furo (domestic ferret)
Lineage: Eukaryota; Metazoa; Chordata; Mammalia; Carnivora; Mustelidae
Description: lncRNA (ENSMPUG00000030250.1)
Source: RNAcentral
UCAUGCUUUAACCACAUCUGCUUCCAUGGUCUUCGGCUUAUGCCAGACUGAUCUUGCCCCUCCCCCACUCCCACCGCACUUGGCGGUGCAAGAACUCGGCAAAUACCUUCUCCCUAACGGCCAUUUCAGGCACUGCACCCAGCGCUCUUCCCAACAGUGAGUGAGUUCUUCCUGGCCCCACACUUGCCACCAGUCUAGACAGUGAUUUGAGAACGUGACUGGUUCGGGAAGAGGUGGCUGCGCCCUUUAUGUCAGAAGAGAACAGAGCAGCUGCAUUUUAUUCUGCAUCCGUGCACUUCCUUCCUAUCCCUUGUCAUCAUCCCUUCCGCUGCUAGCAGCCUGUGCCUCCCCUGUCAUCCCAUACCAGUGCUCGUAUGUUCAUAGGAACGCAGUCCAAACGGUUGGGAGUUCAAAUUUUCUCUGCAGCCACCAGAAGGCCAUCAAAAUCAGCUGACUCAAAGAUGUACGUUGGCCUAGUCUGGAAACCUCUUCCUGAGGAGAGCAAACACACAAGGCUGGAAUGAUUCAUGACGGUAACAUUUUUGUUGGAAAUGAAAAUAUAGAAUAUUUUCUUUGCUUUUUAAUGUUCCUUGUUUUUUUCCCCUUCGGUAAUUAUUUCCUAUUAAACUCGAGAACUCUGCAAUGAAAGUGAUCGCACACACACCCCCACACAUGCACACACACCCGUGCACACACAUGCACACACGCACAUACACACAUGCAUGCUUGCACAUGUAGUGGGUUUACUACCAAAGCAAGAGGAAGUCUGUCAGU